GCUGGGUGUGGUGGUGCACACCUGUAGUCCCAGCUACUUGAGAGGCUGAGGUGGGAGGAUCGCUUGAGCCCAGGAGAUCGAGGCUGCAGUAAGCUGUGAUCACGCCACUGCACUCCCGCCUGGGUGACAGAGCCAGAUCCUGUCUCAA
Molecule: unclassified non-coding RNA, 148 nt
Organism: Macaca fascicularis (crab-eating macaque)
Lineage: Eukaryota; Metazoa; Chordata; Mammalia; Primates; Cercopithecidae
Rfam family: Metazoan signal recognition particle RNA
About the family: The signal recognition particle (SRP) is a universally conserved ribonucleoprotein.
Source: Ensembl